Molecule: ribosomal RNA, 407 nt
Filed under: uncultured bacterium
Lineage: Bacteria
Description: partial 16S ribosomal RNA
Rfam family: Bacterial small subunit ribosomal RNA
Source: RNAcentral
AUUGAACGCUGGCGGCAGGCCUAACACAUGCAAGUCGAGCGGAGCGGCGGACGGGUGAGUAAUACCUAGGAAUCUGCCUGAUCGUGGGGGAUAACGUUCGGAAACGGACGCUAAUACCGCAUCCUAUCAGAUGAGCCUAGGUCGGAUUAGCUAGUUGGUGAGGUAAUGGCUCACCAAGGCUACGAUCCGUAUCUGGUCGGAGCGGAUGAUCAGUCACACGGGAACGGAGGGACGGACCAGACUCCUACGGGAGGCAGCAGUGGGGAAUAUUGGACAAUGGGCGAAAGCCUGAUACAGCCAUGCCGCGUGUGUGAAGAAGGUCUUCGGAUUGUAAAGCACUUUAAGUUGGGAGGCGUUACCGACAGAAUAAGCACCGGCUAACUCUGUGCCAGCAGCCGCGGUAAUUC